CCGAGUUUACAACUCCCAAACCCCUGUGAACAUACCUUACUGUUGCCUCGGCGGAUCAGCCCCGGCGCCUCGUAGGCCCGGAUCAGGCGCCCGCCUAGGAACCCUAAACUCUGUUUUUAGUGGAACUUCUGAGUAUAAAAAACAAAUAAAUCA
This 153-nucleotide unclassified non-coding RNA is filed under the name soil metagenome. Its description in RNAcentral is "partial internal transcribed spacer 1". The record is from RNAcentral.